AACGAACGCUGGCGGCAUGCCUAACACAUGCAAGUCGAACGAGACCUUCGGGUCUAGUUGCGCACGGGUGCGUAACGCGUGGGAACCUGCCCUUAGGUUCGGAAUAACUCCCCGAAAGGGGUGCUAAUACCGGAUAAUGUCUUCGGACCAAAGAUUUAUCGCCUUUGGAUGGGCCGGCGUUGGAUUAGCUAGUUGGUAGGGUAAAAGCCUACCAAGGCGACGAUCCAUAGCUGGUCUGAGAGGAUGAGCAGCCACACUGGGACUGAGACACGGCCCAGAAUCCUACGCGAGGCAGCAGUGGGGAAUAUUGGACAAUGGGCGAAAGCCUGAUCCAGCAAUGCCGCGUGAGUGAUGAAGGCCUUAGGGUUGUAAAGCUCUUUUACCCGGGAUGAUAAUGACAGUACCGGGAGAAUAAGCUCCGGCUAACUCCGUG
RNAcentral lists this ribosomal RNA (433 nucleotides) under uncultured bacterium. RNAcentral describes it as "partial 16S ribosomal RNA". It matches the Rfam family "Bacterial small subunit ribosomal RNA", at positions 29 to 507 of the family's 1533-position model. The record is from RNAcentral.